GGGGUUGUUACGGAUUCGACAGGCAUUAUGAGGCAUGUUUUGCGUCCCAUCGGCAGAUGUAAAUUGCCAGUUAAAUAUAACUGCAAAAAAUACAAACUCUUACGCUUUAGCUGCCUAAAAACCAGCUAGCGUGACUUCUACAAGAUUGCUUGUGUCCUGUUAGAAGUCUCAAAAUAGCAAGCUACGGUUACGAAAUUGUCUAGUUUCGUGACAAGAGAUUGAUAGACUCGCAAACUAAUGGCUUGAGUUAUGUGUCUUUAGUUUGUUAAAUGAA
This 274-nucleotide transfer-messenger RNA is filed under the name Streptococcus pyogenes. Its description in RNAcentral is "partial transfer-messenger RNA". It matches the Rfam family "transfer-messenger RNA", at positions 1 to 298 of the family's 374-position model. Rfam says of the family: Bacterial tmRNA, also known as 10Sa RNA or SsrA, is named for its dual tRNA and mRNA-like properties. Its role is to liberate the mRNA from a stalled ribosome. The record is from RNAcentral. Lineage: Bacteria; Bacillati; Bacillota; Bacilli; Lactobacillales; Streptococcaceae.